GAUGAACGCUGGCGGCGUGCCUAAUACAUGCAAGUCGAGCGAACGGACGAGAAGCUUGCUUCUCUGAUGUUAGCGGCGGACGGGUGAGUAACACGUGGAUAACCUACCUAUAAGACUGGGAUAACUUCGGGAAACCGGAGCUAAUACCGGAUAAUAUAUUGAACCGCAUGGUUCAAAAGUGAAAGACGGUCUUGCUGUCACUUAUAGAUGGAUCCGCGCUGCAUUAGCUAGUUGGUAAGGUAACGGCUUACCAAGGCAACGAUGCAUAGCCGACCUGAGAGGGUGAUCGGCCACACUGGAACUGAGACACGGUCCAGACUCCUACGGGAGGCAGCAGUAGGGAAUCUUCCGCAAAGGGCGAAAGCCUGACGGAGCAACGCCGCGUGAGUGAUGAAGGUCUUCGGAUCGUAAAACUCUGUUAUUAGGGAAGAACAUAUGUGUAAGUAACUGUGCACGUCUUGACGGUACCUAAUCAGAAAGCCACGGCUAACUACGUG
RNAcentral lists this ribosomal RNA (497 nucleotides) under uncultured bacterium. Its description in RNAcentral is "partial 16S ribosomal RNA". It matches the Rfam family "Bacterial small subunit ribosomal RNA", at positions 28 to 507 of the family's 1533-position model. The record is from RNAcentral.